Xiphophorus couchianus (Monterrey platyfish) is the source of this 276-nucleotide long non-coding RNA. RefSeq lists it as uncharacterized. The record is from RefSeq and is a predicted model, not a curated record. The transcript has 2 exons. NCBI's taxonomy places the organism in Eukaryota, Metazoa, Chordata, Actinopteri, Cyprinodontiformes, Poeciliidae.
UACUAACUUGGAAAUAUUUGCGAUAUUUGUGCUUAUUUAUGACGGUAAAUGUGACUUUUUAUACAUAUCAUGGACUAUAACCUGACAUCAAUUAAGGCUGAGGCAGCUGUUUAGUGCAAGUAAGAAAGUUUUGACAAUUUUUGAGAAAAAUCUGCAAUAAACUCCCAAUUAUGUAUUAGUGCAAAAAAAUGCAGGGAUUUGCUGAUUUUGCGUGAAUUUCCACGAUAAUUCUCAAGAAACUGGAGGGACUGACUGAUAUAAUUUGGCAGUAAACAG